GCUGUAGUCCCAGCUACUCAGGAGGCUGAGCCACGAGAAUCGCUUGAACCUGGGAGAUGGAGGUUGAAGUGAGCCAAGAUCGCACCAUUGCACUCCAGCCUGGGGAAAAAAAAAAGCCAGGCCUCCUAAUGUACUCAUUUAAACAUCACUUGUGUCCACCUGGGUUCAGAAUUGCGCUGGACAUGGGAUACACAAAGUUUCAAUUGGCCUCUUGGUGCCAAAGCACCAUGGCGUGUUACACCUAUCAGAUCGGGCACACUGCCCCUUCUUCCCAACCUACGAGCUGAAAUGGCCAGCACUGCGCCUUCCAGAACCCAGCGUAGAUGCACAGCUGCCACGGAGGUAGGAAGAAUGAUUCGUUUGCCACCAAAAGCCCAGUUUCUCCAACAGGUAAGUCCCAGCAGGGUGCGAUGUCCCAAACCUACACAACCGUUUCCACUGCCUAUUCCCGGGCCCCUCACUUGGGUCAAGGCAGCAUUUCAGAGGAAGCCAGGAGCGAGAACUCGUGCAUCCGAACCCUUCUCUGACUUGGCGGGUUAUUGGAUUAGCUACUCUCAGAAGACCCAAAAGGCAUAGGGGAGAGAAGAGAUAAAUCUGGAUGCGGUGGAGACAACGGCCAAACAGAAAAACCGCUUGGAGAAUAAAAGUCGGGGGAAGCCUGUAGUGGG
Molecule: long non-coding RNA, 668 nt
Filed under: Homo sapiens (human)
Lineage: Eukaryota; Metazoa; Chordata; Mammalia; Primates; Hominidae
Description: non-protein coding lnc-GALNTL5-2:5
Source: RNAcentral